GGAGUAGGCCGAGCAAAUGGAAGCUUCUAACUUCUUAUUUAAGCGGUUAAACUCCGUUUCUACUCCU
Molecule: transfer RNA, 67 nt
Filed under: Atyopsis moluccensis
Lineage: Eukaryota; Metazoa; Arthropoda; Malacostraca; Decapoda; Atyidae
Description: tRNA-Ser
Source: RNAcentral